Molecule: RNase P RNA, 159 nt
Filed under: Klebsiella pneumoniae
Lineage: Bacteria; Pseudomonadati; Pseudomonadota; Gammaproteobacteria; Enterobacterales; Enterobacteriaceae
Description: partial RNase P RNA component class A
Rfam family: Bacterial RNase P class A
About the family: Ribonuclease P (RNase P) is a ubiquitous endoribonuclease, found in archaea, bacteria and eukarya as well as chloroplasts and mitochondria.
Source: RNAcentral
CGAGUCGGCCGGGCGGCCGCGUCGGGACCUACACAGGUCUCGCCGAGGAAAGUCCGGACUCCACAGGGCAGGGUGGUGGGUAACGCCCACCCGGGGUGACCCGCGGGACAGUGCCACAGAAAGCAGACCGCCGCCGUGUCCUGCACGCGCGGUAAGGGU